GCAACGAGUGGCGGACGGGUGAGUAACACGUAGGUAACCUGCCCAGAAGCGGGGGACAACAUUUGGAAACAGAUGCUAAUACCGCAUAACAACGUUGUUCGCAUGAACAACGCUUAAAAGAUGGCUUCUCGCUAUCACUUCUGGAUGGACCUGCGGUGCAUUAGCUUGUUGGUGGGGUAAUGGCCUACCAAGGCGAUGAUGCAUAGCCGAGUUGAGAGACUGAUCGGCCACAAUGGGACUGAGACACGGCCCAUACUCCUACGGGAGGCAGCAGUAGGGAAUCUUCCACAAUGGGCGCAAGCCUGAUGGAGCAACACCGCGUGAGUGAAGAAGGGUUUCGGCUCGUAAAGCUCUGUUGUUAAAGAAGAACACGUAUGAGAGUAACUGUUCAUACGUUGACGGUAUUUAACCAGAAAGUCACGGCUAACUACGUGCCAGCAGCCGCGGUAAUACGUAGGUGGCAAGCGUUAUCCGGAUUUAUUGGGCGUAAAGAGAGUGCAGGCGGUUUUCUAAGUCUGAUGUGAAAGCCUUCGGCUUAACCGGAGAAGUGCAUCGGAAACUGGAUAACUUGAGUGCAGAAGAGGGUAGUGGAACUCCAUGUGUAGCGGUGGAAUGCGUAGAUAUAUGGAAGAACACCAGUGGCGAAGGCGGCUACCUGGUCUGCAACUGACGCUGAGACUCGAAAGCAUGGGUAGCGAACAGGAUUAGAUACCCUGGUAGUCCAUGCCGUAAACGAUGAGUGCUAGGUGUUGGAGGGUUUCCGCCCUUCAGUGCCGGAGCUAACGCAUUAAGCACUCCGCCUGGGGAGUACGACCGCAAGGUUGAAACUCAAAGGAAUUGACGGGGGCCCGCACAAGCGGUGGAGCAUGUGGUUUAAUUCGAAGCUACGCGAAGAACCUUACCAGGUCUUGACAUCUUGCGCCAACCCUAGAGAUAGGGCGUUUCCUUCGGGAACGCAAUGACAGGUGGUGCAUGGUCGUCGUCAG
Molecule: ribosomal RNA, 986 nt
Filed under: Limosilactobacillus fermentum
Lineage: Bacteria; Bacillati; Bacillota; Bacilli; Lactobacillales; Lactobacillaceae
Description: bacterial SSU rRNA
Rfam family: Bacterial small subunit ribosomal RNA
Source: RNAcentral